Molecule: ribosomal RNA, 429 nt
Filed under: uncultured bacterium
Lineage: Bacteria
Description: bacterial SSU rRNA
Rfam family: Bacterial small subunit ribosomal RNA
Source: RNAcentral
ACGAACGCUGGCGGCAGGCUUAACACAUGCAAGUCGAACGCCCCGCAAGGGGAGUGGCGCACGGGUGAGUAACACGUUGGAACAUGCCCUCUAGUACGGAACAACGUCGGGAAACUGACGCUAAUACCGUAUAAUAUCUACGGAUCAAAGAUUUAUCGCUAGAGGAGUGGCCCGCGUCUGAUUAGGUAGUUGGUGAGGUAAUGGCUCACCAAGCCCGCGAUCAGUAGCUGGUCUGAGAGGAUGAUCAGCCACACUGGGACUGAGACACGGUCCAGACUCCUACGGGAGGCAGCAGUGGGGAAUAUUGGACAAUGGGCGCAAGCCUGAUCCAGCCAUGCCGCGUGAGUGAUGAAGGCCUUAGGGUUGUAAAGCUCUUUUACCGAUGAAGAUAAUGACGGUAGUCGGAGAAAAAGCCCCGGCUAACUUCGU